Molecule: long non-coding RNA, 111 nt
Organism: Cucurbita moschata (crookneck pumpkin)
Lineage: Eukaryota; Viridiplantae; Streptophyta; Magnoliopsida; Cucurbitales; Cucurbitaceae
Exons: 2
Source: RefSeq, a predicted model, not a curated record
GGCAAUUUGAAUCUCAAACUUACUAGAAGAAGGUAAAUUAAUGCCUCGAAGGGUAAAGAAUCAUCGAAUGUCCUAGAAGAUUAGUUAGUACAAGCCAUACUUGAUGCAAGA